AGAGUUUGAUCAUGGCUCAGGAUAAACGCUGGCGGCAUGCCUAAUACAUGCAAGUCGAACGGGGUUAAUGGUGCUUGCACUGUUAACCUAGUGGCGAACGGGUGAGUGACACGUAGUUAACCUACCCAUUGGACCGGGACAACUUUUGGAAACGAAAGCUAAUACCGGAUAGGAAGAAAUUUUAAAGGAGCGUGUGCUCCACCAAUGGAAGGGACUGCGUCUGAUUAGCUAGUUGGUAGGGUAAGAGCCUACCAAGGCAACGAUCGGUAGCCGGACUGAGAGGUUGAACGGCCACACUGGGACUGAGACACGGCCCAGACUCCUACGGGAGGCAGCAGUAGGGAAUCUUGCACAAUGGGCGAAAGCCUGAUGCAGCAAUGCCGCGUGAGUGAAGAAGGUUUUCGGAUUGUAAAACUCUGUUAUAUGGGAAGAAUGUUUAGAGGAGGAAAUGCCUCUAAAAUGACGGUACCAUAUCAGCAAGGGACGGCUAACUACGUGCCAGCAGCCGCGGUA
RNAcentral lists this ribosomal RNA (513 nucleotides) under uncultured Bacillota bacterium. RNAcentral's name for it is "bacterial SSU rRNA". It matches the Rfam family "Bacterial small subunit ribosomal RNA", at positions 8 to 522 of the family's 1533-position model. The record is from RNAcentral. Lineage: Bacteria; Bacillati; Bacillota.